UUAAAUUGAAGAGUUUGAUCAUGGCUCAGAUUGAACGCUGGCGGCAGGCCUAACACAUGCAAGUCGAACGGUAACAGAAAGCAGCUUGCUGCUUUGCUGACGAGUGGCGGACGGGUGAGUAAUGUCUGGGAAACUGCCCGAUGGAGGGGGAUAACUACUGGAAACGGUAGCUAAUACCGCAUAACGUCGCAAGACCAAAGAGGGGGACCUUCGGGCCUCUUGCCAUCGGAUGUGCCAGAUGGGAUUAGCUAGUAGGUGGGGUAACGGCUCACCUAGGCGACGAUCCCUAGCUGGUCUGAGAGGAUGACCAGNCACACUGGAACUGAGACACGGUCCAGACUCCUACGGGAGGCAGCAGUGGGGAAUAUUGCACAAUGGGCGCAAGCCUGAUGCAGCCAUGCCGCGUGUAUGAAGAAGGCCUUCGGGUUGUAAAGUACUUUCAGCGGGGAGGAAGGGAGUAAAGUUAAUACCUUUGCUCAUUGACGUUACCCGCAGAAGAAGCACCGGCUAACUCCGUGCCAGCAGCCGCGGUAAUACGGAGGGUGCAAGCGUUAAUCGGAAUUACUGGGCGUAAAGCGCACGCAGGCGGUUUGUUAAGUCAGAUGCGAAAUCCCCGGGCUCAACCUGGGAACUGCAUCUGAUACUGGCAAGCUUGAGUCUCGUA
RNAcentral lists this ribosomal RNA (664 nucleotides) under Escherichia coli. RNAcentral's name for it is "bacterial SSU rRNA". It matches the Rfam family "Bacterial small subunit ribosomal RNA", at positions 1 to 653 of the family's 1533-position model. Lineage: Bacteria; Pseudomonadati; Pseudomonadota; Gammaproteobacteria; Enterobacterales; Enterobacteriaceae. The record is from RNAcentral.